Molecule: non-coding RNA, 103 nt
Organism: Triangularia setosa
Lineage: Eukaryota; Fungi; Ascomycota; Sordariomycetes; Sordariales; Podosporaceae
Source: the annotation of a GenBank genome assembly
GCCCGAUUAGCUCAGCUGGUUAGAGCGUCGUACUAAUAUUCACUCAUUCAUGAGUAAUAUACAGUCCAUGCGAAGGUCAACAGUUCAAUCCUGUUAUUGGGCA